UGAACAUACCACUUGUUGCCUCGGCGGAUCAGCCCGCUCCCGGUAAAACGGGACGGCCCGCCAGAGGACCCCUAAACUCUGUUUCUAUAUGUAACUUCUGAGUAAAACCAUAAAUAAAUCAAAACUUUCAACAACGGAUCUCUUGGUUCUGGCAUCGAUGAAGAACGCAGCAAAAUGCGAUAAGUAAUGUGAAUUGCAGAAUUCAGUGAAUCAUCGAAUCUUUGAACGCACAUUGCGCCCGCCAGUAUUCUGGCGGGCAUGCCUGUUCGAGCGUCAUUUCAACCCUCAAGCACAGCUUGGUGUUGGGACUCGCGUUAAUUCGCGUUCCCCAAAUUGAUUGGCGGUCACGUCGAGCUUCCAUAGCGUAGUAGUAAAACCCUCGUUACUGGUAAUCGUCGCGGCCACGCCGUUAAACCCCAACUUCUGAAUGUUGACCUCGGAUCAGGUAGGAAUACCCGCUGAACUUAAGCAUAUCAA
Molecule: ribosomal RNA, 477 nt
Filed under: Fusarium oxysporum
Lineage: Eukaryota; Fungi; Ascomycota; Sordariomycetes; Hypocreales; Nectriaceae
Description: eukaryotic LSU rRNA
Rfam family: 5.8S ribosomal RNA (bases 123-276)
Source: RNAcentral